Molecule: ribosomal RNA, 753 nt
Filed under: uncultured bacterium
Lineage: Bacteria
Description: bacterial SSU rRNA
Rfam family: Bacterial small subunit ribosomal RNA
Source: RNAcentral
AGAGUUUGAUCAUGGCUCAGAACGAACGCUGGCGGCAUGCCUAACACAUGCAAGUCGAACGGGAUCCAGACUUCGGUCUGGUGAGAGUGGCGGACGGGUGAGUAACGCGUGGGAACCUGCCCAAUGGUCUGGGAUAACCGCGGGGAAACUGCGGCUAAUACCGGAUAAGCCCGAGAGGGGGAAAGAUUUAUCGCCGAUGGAGGGGCCCGCGUCCGAUUAGGUAGUUGGUGGGGUAAUGGCCUACCAAGCCUACGAUCGGUAGCUGGUCUGAGAGGAUGAUCAGCCACACUGGGACUGAGAUACGGCCCAGACUCCUACGGGAGGCAGCAGUGGGGAAUAUUGGACAAUGGGGGCAACCCUGAUCCAGCAAUGCCGCGUGAGUGAUGAAGGCCUUAGGGUUGUAAAGCUCUUUUGCCAGGGACGAUGAUGACGGUACCUGGAGAAUAAGCCCCGGCUAACUUCGUGCCAGCAGCCGCGGUAAUACGAAGGGGGCGAGCGUUGUUCGGAAUUACUGGGCGUAAAGGGCGCGUAGGCGGCGAUCCGAGUCAGAUGUGAAAGUCCUGGGCUUAACCUGGGGACUGCAUUUGAUACUGGAUUGCUUGAAUUCGGGAGAGGAUAGCGGAAUUCCCAGUGUAGAGGUGAAAUUCGUAGAUAUUGGGAAGAACACCGGUGGCGAAGGCGGCUAUCNNNACGACAUUGACGCUGAGGCGCGAAAGCGUGGGGAGCAAACAGGAUUAGAUACCCUAGUAGUCC